Molecule: long non-coding RNA, 467 nt
Organism: Gasterosteus aculeatus aculeatus (three-spined stickleback)
Lineage: Eukaryota; Metazoa; Chordata; Actinopteri; Perciformes; Gasterosteidae
Source: Ensembl
CCUGAACCGCGUGUCAUUAAAUGAACGCGCUGUUUGUUCUGGCGUCCUGACUCACGGACGGGUUUCACCUGAAGACUGAACACCUGCUGGGCCUCAUCGCUUACCUUGUUCUGAGAACACGAAGGAGGCCGCGGGGUCCUGGUGCUGGACUCAGAAGCACAGUUAAGGCUGCAUUUUCUGUCUGCAGAACAGCUCCGCGUUGUGCAACAAGGGGACAAUAUUUACAACAAGCGGUGACGAGAAGCAUCUCUCAACCUGUGCACACUUCAGGGGCCGCUCGACGGACAGAAAACACAGCGCUCAGAAUAUGCUCGGGAGGAUGUGCAACGGUCUUUUUCUAAAAUAAUCAUAAUAUACAAGAGCCUCCAUUUGUUGUCCCUCUUUACAGAAAGCAGCAGGAUCGAAAGAAAUAAAAAAACCCAAAAUAAACAAAGAAAACCGAGUAACUCAAAGAUGCACAUUUGGAC